AGCUCCAAUAGCGUAUAUUAAAGUUGUUGCAGUUAAAAAGCUCGUAGUUGAACUUCAGGCCUGGCGGGGUGGUCCGCCUCACGGUGUGUACUGGCCGGCUGGGCCUUACCUCUUGGUGAGCCCGUAUGCCGUUUACUCGGUGUGCGGGGGAACCAGGAAUUUUACUUUGAAAAAAUUAGAGUGUUCAAAGCAGGCAUAUGCCCGAAUACAUUAGCAUGGAAUAAUAGAAUAGGACGUGCGGUUCUAUUU
This 249-nucleotide ribosomal RNA is filed under the name uncultured Tremellomycetes. RNAcentral's name for it is "partial small subunit ribosomal RNA". It matches the Rfam family "Eukaryotic small subunit ribosomal RNA", at positions 587 to 842 of the family's 1831-position model. The record is from RNAcentral. Lineage: Eukaryota; Fungi; Basidiomycota; Tremellomycetes.